RNAcentral lists this small nuclear RNA (105 nucleotides) under Chinchilla lanigera (long-tailed chinchilla). The record is from RNAcentral. Lineage: Eukaryota; Metazoa; Chordata; Mammalia; Rodentia; Chinchillidae.
GUGCUCGCUUCGGCAGCACAUAUCCUAAAAAUUGGAACAAUACAGAGAUUAGCAUGGCCCCUGUGCAAGGAUGACAUGCAAAUUCAUGAAGCGUUCCAUAUUUAA